UACUAUGUAGUACUGUUUUUUAACAUUUUUUUUUUUUGCGCGGAUUGUCCUUCCUUUGGGGUGGUGUUUAAUUUUUGGCCCUCUGAUGGUUUUCAAUUUUUGCCCUUCGUAACCCAGCUCAGUAGAAAAGAAAGAAAAUUCACAAGCCAGCAGAUUAAGGCUAUCUUCUGAGCAGGAGAAACUUCGUAGUAUGUUAAAAGAUGUGCUGAAGAAUCGGCCUAAUGUGGAUGUGGUGAAACUUCAAAAGUCUAAGGAAUGCAAAAAUACAUCAGAAAGCCAGAGGCUACAGAAUACGGGAUGAGAAGAGAUAGGAGAGGAACACAUUAGUAGUUUUCCCACUCCGCGUUUACAGCCGGUGGAUUUGGAGAAAGUGGCUGAGGACCGCUGUCCGAGGAGGGAACGUCGGAGCUGGUUGAGAAGUAUCAUCAUAAAGAUUUUUCUCACCAAAUGAAUUUGGGAAGGAGGGCAAGGGCUCUUGCCUGUAUUGGUGUUGAGCAUGAAAGAAAGCGAAAAGAAGAGGAGGCCUACGAUUGUUUUCCUGCAUAGCACGGACAAAUGCAAAGAGUGGUUGAGGCCAUUGCUUGAGGGAUUUGUUUCAAGGGGAGAUAUCGCUGUUGCAAUUGAUUCUUGAUACCAGGGAGAACGUGCAACCAGCUUGACAACCUAUCGAGAUGCCCUAGAGUCGUCAUGGAAAAAUGAUGAUACAAUGCCGUUCAUAUUUGAUACGGUAAUAUUGAAAAAACUAACCUGAUUCUACCAUUUGAAAAACUUGGUGAAAUCUGGUUAUUAUUCUCAAACCGCCGUAGUCAGUUGAUAUGGAGCUCUGACCAUAUCUUUACUGCCCUUUGAAUGUUUGGGACUUGAUAAAACUGGCUGAUUAUCUGUAUACGGUCAAUUUGGCCAUGUUUAUGAAUGAAAUACAUUUACUUGAUCAAAAAAGAAAAAAACACGCUGAUUAUCUUACUGAGAGGGAAGAUGUUGACCUAUCAAAGAUAGGAAUCACUGGCGAAUCUGGACCAAUGAUUCACUGUGGUCCAAAGUCCUCAGAGCUAAAUACUGCAUUAGAGGGCAUGUUGUCACCAAGAAAUGGAGAUCUGGGCAGUUCCAUGAUUGGCAGAAACUGAUGCAGAUCAAACAUGAAGCUGAGAAAUGCAUUAUAUGGGAAACCAGUAGGGGAGAUAGUAGCUUCUGGUGGGAUAAUUGGACAGGGCUUGGCCCCUAUCCAAUUAUGCUGAAAACUAACCAAAUGUGGUAAACUUAUGGUUGCUGCUUUCAUUAGUGAUGGGAAGUGGAUCAUGGAUAAAUGCUAUGAUCUACUACCAGUUGAUGUUGUGCAACACAUAAGCCUUAUCAGAAUUGGUAAAAGUGAUAAAGAUGAUUUACCUAUAUGGAAUGACACUAAUGAUGGAUGUUUUUCUAACAGGUCAGCUUGGAUGAUGAUAAGAAGCAAAAGACAAAAGGAUGAAUUCAUGAAGAAAUUGUGGAGCAAGCAUAUACCCUUCAAAAUAUCAUUUAUGGUAUGGACGGUACUAAAAAGGAGGAUUCCUUUUAAUGAGAUCCUGAACCAGCAUAGGAGUCCUUAGAAUAAAUUGAAGUCAAGCUGCUGCUGCUGCUGCACAGUGCCUCAGCCAGAAACAAUUCAGCAUGUAGUUGUAGAGAGUGAAGCUCCAAAGCAGAUAUGGUACUAUUAUGGAAGACCUCUAGGUAUGGUACAUCAGGUCAUGUCCAUCAAGGAACUGCUGAACAGAUGGUGGAAUAUGAAUUGCAAAAAUCAAGUGCACAGAAUGAUAUUUCAAACUGUUCCUCUGAUGAUAAUAUCGGAGAUAUGGAAAACUUGGUGCUCUUAUAAACAUGGGGAGCAAAAGAGGUUCUUGUAUAGUAGGAUGAUAUACCAAAUUCUGUGGAAUAUUAAAUCAGCUGUUGGUUUAGCUAUCCAAAACUGUGACUGGGCUAUGCCUGGGAUUAGGUUGUGUGAUACGGUAGAAAGACUGAAGCCUGUUUUAAAUGGAAGAAGGUAUGGUGGGAAAAACCUCCAAUGGGUAAAGGUAAAUACAGAUGGGAGCUUUAUACAGGGGAGUGGAGAAGCAGGGAUUGGUGGACUUGUUAGAGAUGAUCAGGGAAACUUUAUCGUGGCUUUCUCUCCACAAGUUAACUGUAAGAACAACAAUGAAGGAUCUAUCGAAAGGACGUGAAAUGAAAUUGUAUUUGGUUUCUACUUUUAGUUGGAAAAUGAAGAGCUUGAUGGGCUGAAGUGUUUUUUAUCUUUGUAACUUCAUCAUUUUCCUUUUUUGAAACAAAUAAAAAUUAUGAAUUUUUUCCAUAUGAACCAAAACAAUGAAAAUUCUCAGUAUGAAUUUGAUAAACUUUUCAUGACAGCAAACUUUUUUAGGCACUGAA
Molecule: long non-coding RNA, 2397 nt
Organism: Lycium barbarum (goji berry)
Lineage: Eukaryota; Viridiplantae; Streptophyta; Magnoliopsida; Solanales; Solanaceae
Exons: 5
Source: RefSeq, a predicted model, not a curated record